RNAcentral lists this long non-coding RNA (618 nucleotides) under Olea europaea (common olive). RNAcentral's name for it is "long non-coding RNA (OEUR_LNC009971)". Lineage: Eukaryota; Viridiplantae; Streptophyta; Magnoliopsida; Lamiales; Oleaceae. The record is from RNAcentral.
GAAAGAUCAAAGACAAUACUAAACAUUCAUCAAAGUUUCACCCCUAGCUCUAGCUAAAUGUUUAGGAAUACAUAGUGAAAUGUUACAAAGAAAAUGAAGGAAACUAGAAUAUGAUGGAGAGAAUUUGAUGCUUCAAAAUCGUGGCCAAGGUCCCCUUUUAUAGGCAAAGGAACAUCCAAAAUUCAAGUAGGCAAUGCAACUUGUUUCUGUCCAGCUUCAAGACAGCUGGAACAUGCAACUUGAUGCCAAUUUUCAGAUACAUUGUGCAGCGACUUUGGACUUAUGAUCAACAGAUAAAUUAUUACCACUUGAGUUAUCUUUCCAUUGGUUCAAAUAUCAGGUUCAUUGGAUCUAUAUAACUCCGGAUAUGACAAAAACAAUAAGUGCUGCUUCACAGGUAAAGCUGUAUCCGGCAGGUAACAAGCUGAACUUUGCACGGUAAUUUUGGCUGCUUUUUGAUACGAAUUUGACUUCUUCCAAAACAUGAAAGUUGUAGAAACGUACAUUUUCUUUCGAACCCAACUUGAAUCACCUCGAUCCAAUGUCUGAAGCUCAAGUUAUGAUUAUUUUACCAACAGCUGCUUCUUGCUUGAGGCAGUCACUAUUUUUGACUUUUCA